RNAcentral lists this unclassified non-coding RNA (316 nucleotides) under uncultured fungus. Its description in RNAcentral is "partial contains small subunit ribosomal RNA, internal transcribed spacer 1, and 5.8S ribosomal RNA". The stretch from base 1 to 73 matches the Rfam family "Eukaryotic small subunit ribosomal RNA", at positions 1759 to 1831 of the family's 1831-position model. Lineage: Eukaryota; Fungi. The record is from RNAcentral.
GCAAACUUGGUCAUUUAGAGGAAGUAAAAGUUGUAACAAGGUUUCCGUAGGUGAACCUGCGGAAGGAUCAUUAACGAGUCCGUUGGGUUGUGUGGGUGGUGGGGAGAGAGGGUGGAUGGGAUGGGGUUGCGCUGUGUAACCCUAGCCUGUUUGAUUGCAUUCUCUCGCCUUUUGCCUACACACGACAUUUGAUCGGUGGCAAUGUAAAUUGUUACUGAUAUUGAUAAUUAAAAUGGAAAUGACUAGAAUAUGAAUGAUAAAUUGAAAAACUUUUAACAAUGGAUCUCUAGGCUCUUGCAUCGAUGAAGAACGCAGC